Gastrolobium bilobum is the source of this 94-nucleotide small nucleolar RNA. RefSeq annotates it as small nucleolar RNA snoR126. The record is from RefSeq and is a predicted model, not a curated record. The transcript has a single exon. NCBI's taxonomy places the organism in Eukaryota, Viridiplantae, Streptophyta, Magnoliopsida, Fabales, Fabaceae.
AGGCUAUGAUGACCGAUAUAAAUUUCUCGAUUCUGAUCAGGACCAAAGCAAAUCUAUUGCUCUUGAUGACAGUAUUUGUGCGUGUCUGAGCCUU